UCGCCUAGCCCAGCAGGAAUGGGCGACCUGAAAAAAGGUCUCUGGUUCGAGUCCAGGUAGGCGAGCC
Molecule: transfer RNA, 67 nt
Filed under: Mycobacterium phage Gaia
Lineage: Duplodnaviria; Heunggongvirae; Uroviricota; Caudoviricetes
Description: tRNA-Ser
Source: RNAcentral